GGAAUAUUGGACAAUGGGCGAAAGCCUGAUCCAGCGACGCCGCGUGAGUGAUGAAGGCCUUCGGGUUGUAAAGCUCUGUUGAGGGAGAAGAAACCAGUUAGAACUAACAUGUCUAGCUCUUGACGGUAUCCCUUUAGAAAGCACCGGCUAACUACGUGCCAGCAGCCGCGGUAAUACGGAGGGGGCUAGCGUUGUUCGGAAUUACUGGGCGUAAAGCGCGCGUAGGCGGCUUUGUAAGUUAGAGGUGAAAGCCCAGGGCUCAACCCUGGAAUUGCCUUUAAGACUGCAUCGCUAGAAUUGUGGAGAGGUGAGUGGAAUUCCGAGUGUAGAGGUGAAAUUCGUAGAUAUUCGGAAGAACGCCAGUGGCGAAGGCGACUCACUGGACACAUAUUGACGCUGAGGUGCGAAAGCGUGGGGAGCAAAC
This 424-nucleotide ribosomal RNA is filed under the name uncultured bacterium. RNAcentral describes it as "bacterial SSU rRNA". It matches the Rfam family "Bacterial small subunit ribosomal RNA", at positions 358 to 773 of the family's 1533-position model. The record is from RNAcentral.